AGUCAAUAGAUACCCGGGUAGUCCAUGCCGUAAACGAUGAUUGCUAGGUGUGGGGGUCUGACCCUUCCGUGCCGGAGUUAAACACAAAUAAGCAAUCCACCUGGGGAGUACGGCCGCAAGGUUGAAACUCAAAGGAAUUGACGGGGGCCGUGCACAAGCAGUGGAGUAUGUGGUUUAAAUUCGAAGCAACGCGAAGAACCUUACCAGGUCUUGACAUCCACCGAAUCCUGUAGAGAUACGGGAGUGCCCUCCGGGGAACGGUGAGACGGGUGGUGCAUGGUUGUCGUCAGCUCGUGUCGUGAGAUGUUGGGUUAAGUCCCGCAACGAGCGCAACCCUUGUGAAUAGUUGCUACGAAAGAGCACUCUAUUCAGACCGCCGUUGACAAAACGGAGGAAGGUGGGGAUGACGUCAAAUCAUCAUGCCCCUUAUGACCUGGGCUACACACGUACUACAAUGGCCGUUAACAGAGGGAUGCAAUGCCGCGAGGUGGAGCGAACCCCUAAAAACGGUCUCAGUUCAGAUUGCAGGCUG
RNAcentral lists this ribosomal RNA (532 nucleotides) under uncultured bacterium. RNAcentral describes it as "bacterial SSU rRNA". It matches the Rfam family "Bacterial small subunit ribosomal RNA", at positions 775 to 1307 of the family's 1533-position model. The record is from RNAcentral.